AAAUAAUCUAAUUUGCGACAGAUCCGAAGGAAGAAAUCGAAGGAUGGCGAAGCUGGUGUUCUUCACCGUAGUUGUUAUCACCAUUUGCUCCUUUGGAGUCUCCGUUGAUGACAAAUGUGCUGCUUGCAACGCCGUCGCGGAGGAACUGGAGUCACAGCUUUUGAAGGAAAAAACCACGAAACCAUCUUGAUUUGAGAAACCGACUCAUUCUAAAGGCCAGCGUGAAGGAAAGGUUAUUGAUUAUAGAAUGAGUGACCUGAGGGUGGUUGAUUUGUUGACGGGCUGUGUGAUAGAAUGCAGGACUAUACUCUACAAAAGGUGAAAUCUAAAAAUAGUGAAUGGGUCAAAGUGGAAAGUUUUGACAAUCUAACAAAUAAACAAGAAGCUAAAGCGCAUGCCAAUGACAUUUCAA
Long non-coding RNA from Raphanus sativus (radish), 412 nucleotides. RefSeq lists it as uncharacterized. The transcript has 6 exons. The record is from RefSeq and is a predicted model, not a curated record. Lineage: Eukaryota; Viridiplantae; Streptophyta; Magnoliopsida; Brassicales; Brassicaceae.